Molecule: non-coding RNA, 973 nt
Organism: Schizosaccharomyces pombe (fission yeast)
Lineage: Eukaryota; Fungi; Ascomycota; Schizosaccharomycetes; Schizosaccharomycetales; Schizosaccharomycetaceae
Source: the annotation of a GenBank genome assembly
CCUCGUUAGACCCACUCGGAAAUCUUAAGUUAAUAACGUUGACAUUACUAAUUGAGACAAAAUUGUAGUUAAGAGACAAACUCAUACUGCAGAGAACUCAAUACGGUAUGCAUUCAAAAUGAAAUUUGCGAAAAUAAAAAUCAGUAUGUCAUUAUACAAUACAGAAUUGGCCCAAGUAAAACACGGUUUAAUCGUCGAGCUGUUUGGUUUUUUCAAUUCCAUGGAAAGCACGCGAUGUCGUUGUUUUAAAACCAGUAAUCGGCCGGUUUCAAAAGUAUACAUUCCAGAAUACCACGGAUUGAUGCUGUGUAGCUCAAUGCAUGCCCACACACAGAACACCCGGAUAAGUUGGUUCCGAUAUCCUCCAACCCGAUAGGAUGUUGGGUGAUAAGAUUUCUUUGACAAAAUAGACAUCAACAAAGCAUGCAUGCUUCCACUUCCAUUAAACUCGGCGAACGGAAAUGCCGCCAUCCUACAAAAUUCCCCUCACCUCUCCUAUUGUCGGUCUUUGAAAUUAACAACUACCAGGUACCGAGCAGAAUGUUCUGCACGGAAUUGACCUGACAACCGGCAUCCGCACAAAACAGCCACUUCAGCAAUUUCGGUUCCAAGUAUGUUCCAUUCAUGCACGUAAACCGUAGUUUAUUUUAGGAACCUCAGUUUACCGAACGCUAAAAUUUAUUAGGCAGCAUAUACUGCCGAAGCAAAAAGAUGAACGGAUACGAGGAUUUUACCGCCCGCCACCCUUCAACAAGUGUAAUGGAUAUAAGAUGAUUUGAUAGUAUUCGAAAAUUUUUGAAUUUUCGUGUCGAGUAGCAAAUUCCAUUGUUUUACAUUCUUGCUAUCUAAUUAAAAGCAACGAUGAGUUAAUCUUUCGUGCAUUAUUCUAGUUCGACAAAACGCAGAAUAAUUUUCAAGAAAAGACCGUGGAAACUAAUUAAUUAUUAUAAGGACAGAUGUCGAUAUUAAUAAA